This 403-nucleotide ribosomal RNA is filed under the name Verrucomicrobiota bacterium. RNAcentral's name for it is "Verrucomicrobia bacterium partial 16S ribosomal RNA". It matches the Rfam family "Bacterial small subunit ribosomal RNA", at positions 355 to 776 of the family's 1533-position model. The record is from RNAcentral. Lineage: Bacteria; Pseudomonadati; Verrucomicrobiota.
UGGGGAAUAUUGCACAAUGGGGGAAACCCUGAUGCAGCGACGCCGCGUGAGCGAAGAAGGCUUUCGAGUCGUAAAGCUCUGUCCUAUGAGAAGAUAAUGACGGUAUCAUAGGAGGAAGCCCUGGCUAAAUACGUGCCAGCAGCCGCGGUAAUACGUAUGGGGCGAGCGUUGUCCGGAAUUAUUGGGCGUAAAGGGUACGUAGGCGGUCUAUUAAGUCAGGUGUGAAAGCGUGAGGCUUAACCUCAUUAAGCACUUGAAACUGAUAGACUUGAGUGAAGGAGAGGAAAGUGGAAUUCCUAGUGUAGCGGUGAAAUGCGUAGAUAUUAGGAGGAAUACCGGUGGCGAAGGCGACUUUCUGGACUUUUACUGACGCUCAGGUACGAAAGCGUGGGGAGCAAACAGG